Brienomyrus brachyistius is the source of this 552-nucleotide long non-coding RNA. RefSeq lists it as uncharacterized. The record is from RefSeq and is a predicted model, not a curated record. The transcript is spliced from 3 exons. Lineage: Eukaryota; Metazoa; Chordata; Actinopteri; Osteoglossiformes; Mormyridae.
CUUGUGGCACAUGUAGAGCUCCGUCUCGUCCAGCUCCUCCAGGUCCGUGAAACUGCGCAGGCAGUCUGCGAGGCACAGACACCCUCACCAAACUGUGCAGGUAGUCUGCGAGGCACAGACACCCUCACCAAAUGGUGCAGGCCGCCUACGAGGCACAGACACCCUCACUAAACUGUGCAGGCAGCCUGCGAAGCACAGACACCCUCACUAAACUGUGCAGGCAGCCUGCGAGGCACAGACACCCUCACCAAACUGUGCAGGCAGCCUGCGAGGCACAGACACCCUCACCAAACUGUGCAGGUAGUCUGCGAGGCACAGACACCCUCACCAAACUGUGCAGGUAGUCUGCGAGGCACAGACACCCUCACCAAAUCGUGCAGGCCGCCUACGAGGCACAGACACCCUCACCAAACUGCGCAGGCAGCCUGCGAGGCACAGACACCCUCACCAAACUGCGCAGGCAGCCUGCGAGGCACAGACACCCUCACCAAACUGGCUCUGCGGCUGGACAGAAGAUUCCGGAAAUCCUGCAAGACACCGCUUACCCUGAAG